Molecule: ribosomal RNA, 500 nt
Filed under: uncultured bacterium
Lineage: Bacteria
Description: partial 16S ribosomal RNA
Rfam family: Bacterial small subunit ribosomal RNA
Source: RNAcentral
AUUGAACGCUGGCGGAAUGCUUUACACAUGCAAGUCGAACGGCAGCACGGACUUCGGUCUGGUGGCGAGUGGCGAACGGGUGCGUAAUGUAUCGGCACGUGCCCAGUCGUGGGGGAUCACGUAGUGAAAAUUACGCUAAUACCGCAUACGAUCUAUGGAUGAAAGCGGGGGAUCGCAAGACCUCGCGCGAUUGGAGCGGCCGAUAGCAGAUUAGGUAGUUGGUGGGGUAAAGGCCCACCAAGCCAACGAUCUGUAGCUGGUCUGAGAGGACGACCAGCCACACUGGAACUGAGACACGGUCCAGACUCCUACGGGAGGCAGCAGUGGGGAAUUUUGGACAAUGGGCAAAAGCCUGAUCCAGCCAUUCCGCGUGCAGGAUGAAGGCCCUCGGGUUGUAAACUGCUUUUGUACAGAACGAAAAGGUUUCUACUAAUACUAGGAGCUCAUGACGGUACUGUAAGAAUAAGCACCGGCUAACUACGUGCCAGCAGCCGCGGUAA